RNAcentral lists this long non-coding RNA (3135 nucleotides) under Elaeis guineensis (African oil palm). Its description in RNAcentral is "long non-coding RNA (EGUI_LNC006322)". The record is from RNAcentral. Lineage: Eukaryota; Viridiplantae; Streptophyta; Magnoliopsida; Arecales; Arecaceae.
GAAAUUCAAACCACUAAAUAAAAGGUAUGUGAGCAAAAAUUUGAUCAAGUACCGUCUUAUUGAAGCUAGAUACUCUUCUUUUGUUACGUUCUGCAUUAUUUGAAUCUCUUUCUCAUAGUUGGAUAUCUGAUAAUGUACUCAAUUGAUCAGUAACAAUGAGCAAAUUAAUCUGCUUCUGAUUGGCAAUUUUGCUGAACAUACACACACUGUGUAUGACAAGUAUUAGUUCUAGAACAUUCAUAAUAAUUGGAUUCAUUGUCCCGUAAUAAUCCUAAUUGCUUGUACCUAAUUCAUUGCUCAAAAUGGUGAAAUCUUGGGUACUUGUUGGCUUGAGAUUAAACUAAUUAAAACAAUCAAAGCCUUUUCUUUCAUUCUCAAAAAAGUCAUUGUAAUUUGCAGUGCAGAUAACAUUAAAAAAGAAUACAAUAAGCCACCCAAUUGCCAUUCAUCUUUAGUCGUCGUGAUUGAUAGAUGCUUCUUUAUUUGGAUGGCUUUUUCCAAAGAACACAGGCAGGCACACACAAGGUUUUCCUUCCAUUCAAAUUUUAAUGGGAGUCGGAUAAGUUUCCUGGAAAUACCGGGAAAUUUGUGAAAGUGGUAGGUCCCCAGUACUUUAUUGCCGCUAGAUCGUAUGCUCUUGCUGCUGCUUCCUCCUCGUUAUAGGCACCAAGAUAAACUGCUUGUAUUGGCAGACAGUUCCAAUGCCCAAGAAGAGAUAACAGGAUGUUAAUAUGAAUAUAAUAUAUAUUUAAUGAUAUUAAAGAUAUAGGGCAAGCCCAAGUCCUUAAGAUAAUCCAGAAGAAUUAUGUGGAAAGUUUACCUUGCUUUCCUUUCUUCUUUUGUGUCGCAUUCCAAGACCCCUUGUCCCACAAAUGGGCUUCAAAACGGCCAGUCCAUCGGUGCCUGUCCAGUGAACUACUGUUAGUUUAUGGUAAAAGAUAAGCAAUUAUUAAAUUUUCUCGUAAGCUUCUUCUGUUUCGACAAAAAAUGGAUCUGCACCAGUGUGCAGCAUCAAUAAAUUGGUAAAUCUAUUGUUUUCUAUGAUUAGCUAUCUUAUCUCUGUUUAUCUAUUGGCCAUCUCUUAAAAUACCCUUUUCUAAUUGACCAUUAAGAUGCUAUUGGAGAAUUCACUAUUGACCUACCAGCUUAUCUUUUUACUAGUCAUCACGAAGAUUCACAUAUUCUAGCAGACUAGCACUCACCACCUGCUCUUUCUCACAAGUUGCGUGCUCUCUCUCUCUCUCUCUCUCACUCUCACGCACAUUCAUGCACACGCGCACCGCCCAAAGGAUAAAAUUCCUCACCUGCUAACCCCUCGAAACCUUGAACUCCUUUUGAUGGUGCUGGUUGUGGCAGACUGAUCAUGCAUCGGUCCGUUGGAAACAUUUAUAGUUGAUAGCAGUGCAGGUCCGCCGCGCCUCCUCUUAACACACUUCAUUCCAUCAGGACCAACCGAUGCUCUCACAGGCUGACCUGAGAGGUGCUUCCCAUUGCUGUUUAGCUCACUCUUCACCGACACAUUCAAUUGCAUUCUUCCUUUCUAAUAACGGUCCCCCUAAAGCUCUCAGUGGCGGCAAGUAACCUCACGAGGAUGGCUGGUAUGAGCUUUCUAGACUAGACAGGCGUAAUGUAUAUGUGUAGAUAAGGUUAAACUAUGGUUUGUGUGUUUUUGUUUUUAGCGGACAGCAGGAGACGAUGAUUUCAAGACUAUUUCUAACAAAUAUGUUUUGUCCUUUGUGGGACUGGCUUUAGUACAAGAAAUAUAUAGGAGUAUAUUUAUUCCGAAGAUGUAACGAAAUUCUCUAAUAUGCCAAGAGAAAGUAGAGGAGGUACUUUUCCAAGUUCGUCGAACAGAUUUCUUUUUUCACUUUAUUAUGUUGUUGGUUUAAUGAUCAAGCGGUUGAUGAUUGGUGCGGGUGAUCAGCACUCACAAGCCCCAGAGAUUUGUAAACAAUAUUUAGACAUGCAAAAUUACAUAACCAUUUUUGUUUCAGGGAAAAAUUACCCGACCUCUUUGCAUUUUGUGGCCAAGUAUUCUGAGCCAUACCUUGGUUGUAUCACAGCCUGCACCUUUGAGGUCGCUUUCUCUACGACGGUGUUAGAAAGCCUUUUGGAACCACUUCACAUAAAAUCACCCAGGAGUCAUUGGCUAGGCCAGCUGGACCAAGAGAGCUAAAUACUUAUUAAAAAUCGGACUGUCUUAUCCUAACAAUCAGAUAUCCAAUGCAAUUCCACGAUGUAACAAGGCUACAAAAGGGAAAGUGGAUGCAUCCACUUGGCAUAUUAGAGGAAGAAAUUGUUGCAUAAAUUCGAGUCCAAGCCCAACGACCUCUACUUUCUCCUCGCUGGCACGGCCAUGUAGGAUGAAUUGUGCAUGGCUCUCGAGGAUGCGUCUGCUGGGACGAAGAAUGAGGUGAGGCAGACGUGACUUGAAGCGCAUAAACGACGUUUUUUUUUCUUUUUGAUAGGAUAAACGACCUUCUUGAAUGAAUCGCCUAUUCAACUUCUCUUUUAUUUUUAUAUAAAUCUUGAUCGUUUGCGUGUUUGAUAAUCUACAGUCUGGCCGAGGACAUGCCAAGCUCGUUGCUUCCAAUGCAUUUUGUUGGUAAUAUGUUUUUGGAUUAUAGCAUACUAUUUAUAUCAAUGCUUUGUCCAUUGUAGACUAAUUUCUUUUUUUAUUAAUACAGUGGGGAUGCUAUUCUGAGGGUUCAACUAUGGAACCUUUUUAUAUGAUGCGUUGAGAAUAGGAGCGCAAAAAACCAGUCCUUUUUUUUUUGAUGAAAUCGACGCUAGGGAGACUUGCCUCCUAAGCCACUAGCUUUGUUGACAGAGAAGUGUACAACAGGAGCAGCAACAUGAAACAAUGUACAGAAACCAGAAAACCAAGAUCAAAGUAUGCAAUCAGCUACAAUGAAAAGAGAGUAUGAAACAGUGAAAGUAGUCUGAACAGCGAGAAGAAUUGGAAGGGCAGACCUGGUCGAAACAGAGGAAAUAGUCUGAUAUAAUGUCAUGAAAGACAUGUUCAGAAUUACGACGACCAGAAGUAAAAAAGGAUGUAGAUGGAAAUGAAAGGUAAUUAAUAAUUUUGAAAAUAAAAAAAAAAUGAUAUAAAUAGAGAUGGAAGGAGAUUAAUCG